RNAcentral lists this long non-coding RNA (2559 nucleotides) under Homo sapiens (human). Its description in RNAcentral is "non-protein coding lnc-UCK1-2:1". Lineage: Eukaryota; Metazoa; Chordata; Mammalia; Primates; Hominidae. The record is from RNAcentral.
GCAGAUUUUAAAAAGCGCAGUGGGCUCCCACCCAUCUUCUGCUCCUUGCUUUUUCACUCCAUCUGGCGUGAAGAUCUUAAUUCUGCGUCUGCACAACGGCGUUCUGCCGGGCGCGCCAGUUUGCUCCUAGUUUUUUUCUUUUCUUUUCUUUUCUUUUUUUUUGAGACGGAGUUUCGCUCUUGUUGCCCAGGCUGGAGUGCAAUGGCGCGAUCUCGGCUCACCGCAACCUCCGCUUCCCGGGUUCAAGCGAUUCUCCUGCCUCAGCCUCCCGAGUAGCUGAGAUUGAAGGCGCACGCCACCACGCCCGGUUAAUUUUUGUAUUUGUAGUAGAGACAGGGUUUCACCAUGUUGGCCAGGCUGGUCUCGAACUCCUGACCUGAAGUGAUCCGCCCACCUCGGCCUCCCAAAGUGCUGGGAUUACAGGCGUGAGCCACUGCGUCCGACCUUAAUUUUUUUUUUAAGACACGGGGUCUCGCUCUGUCGCCCAGGCUGGAGUACAGUGGCAGGACCACGGCUUGCUGCAGCCUCGACCUCUCUGCCCGAAGCGAUCCUCCCUCCUCGGCCUCCAGAGCAGCUGAGACCACAGGCACGUGCCCCCACGCCCGCGGGCGCUCCUAGUUUCCUUGCCGAAAAACAUCGAUGCCACGAUCCUGCUUGCACAUACAUCUAGCGGUGAAGUGGCUGAGGGUAAGGGCAUUUAAAACGGACCUAGGGCCGGGGGCGGUGGCUCACGCCUGUAACCCCAGCACUUUGGGUGGCCGAGGUGGGAGGAUCCGUGAGCCCGCUUGAGUCCAGGAGAGCCUGGGCAACACAGCGAGACCCCGUCUCUACAAAAAAAUACAAAAAUUAGCGGGGCCCCUUGGCGUCUGCCUGCAGUCCCAGCUACAAGGGAGGCUGAGGCAGGAGAUCACUUGGGGCAGAGAGGUCGAGGCUGCAGUGAGCCUUGGUCUCACCACUGCACUCCAGCCUGGACUACAAAGUGAGACCGUCUCAAAACAAAAAACAAAACCAAAAAAACCUGGACAUCAGUGGGGGCUGCAUGACCAUCAGAGGCUCCAGUGGGGGCAUCUCCCCUAAACUCCGUGGCAGAAGACUGGAGGCUUCUUCCUCCAUUCCCAGGGCUCCUCCUCAUCCAUCAGCCUCUCCAGCCCCCUCUGCUGAGGGUCAAGAGCCUUCCCAAAGGCCUGCUUUGGAGCAGACAUGGUACUUUUGGUUGGGUCAAUGCACCCCUUCCCAUGUUUUCCCUGAACAGUCGGCACCCAGAGCAGGGUAACUGACAGCAACGCAACCAGGCUGAUGGAUCACUCUUCUCAGCCUCGCUCCUUCUUGAUCUCCUGGUCUAUUUGUAUGUUAAUCUAUACAGACCAAAAGGGCACACUGCAGGUUUAAUAACCUUCAUUAUGGUUCUUGGCUGCCUGCAAGACUUUUUUUCCAUGUUGGGCAACAUAGCAUUAGAUGACACCAGUUAGAAUUUCGUGGUUACUUCUUUAUGGCUUACCCUUGAGGGGUUAUGUGACUCACCCAAGAUCCCACAGAGAGGCAAGGAGCUGGGGCUCACCUGGGUUUGUGGCCAGAGCCUGCAGGCAACUGUAUUUACAGUGGGCAGGGAGGGUUCCCUGGGCCCCAGGAGGGAGUGGGGCUGGGCUGUUAAGCUUUGGUUCAUGCCAUGCUAACAGUGGUGGUGCCUCAGGACUUACAGCCUCCAUCUUGCAAGCCCCCAACCUUAGGACUAGCCUCUUUCAGGGCUGGUCUCCGUUUGAGAUUUUGUGAGCCACCUGUCCCUAGGGAGCAGUAAAUCAGGGCAGUGAGUGUGGCUAGUUAAAGCUGAGAUGCCCAUGGCCAGGUCCCCAACUCUCUUCCAUAGUCAAAAGGCUUAGAAGGAAGUUGAGGGACUGGGGUUCCUCAUGGAAACAGCGUUUUAUUUCUUGGGGGUAAUUUAUAAGUUUUCUUAGCUGGUUCUAGGCACUAAGCUAAAAGCUACUGGUGACUUUGAAUCCACACUACGCCAUGAGGUCGAUACCAUUACAAUCUGUGUUUUAUGAUUAAGGAGACUGACUCAGGUGGUGAAACGUCUUUCCCCAGGUCAGUGAGGCAAUGGCAAAACCGAGAACUGCUGCCUCAGCCCAUUCUUACCUUUUACCCUUCGCUACCCCAGGCCUGGCUUGCUCCCUCCCCACCCCAAAGCACAGCAUAAUCCUCCUCCACUUCCUGCAAAAGCACCGCUAGAAGUGACAACACAACACGCCACAUCAAAUGCUUACCUCCUCUGACCAGCUCGUUUCUCACGGCAAGUGACGGGGCCACAGGCAGGCACUGUGCACAACCAGAUGCCAUCCGUGGGAAGAGGGUGGAGUGCUUGAUGCUGCCGCAUUUGGAAGAUGCUUCUUAGCCACGGGUUUCAAUCCCUUCUCUACCCACACAGCUUCUGUUAAGGCAUUUCAGCCGUGCCACUCCUAAUUUCCGUGUGAACUCUGUAAAAUUAGAAUUCUUUGAUCUGUAGGUCUCUCUGGUCAAAUGACCAAGAAACGAGGGAUGUACAACCUGAGAAAGCACGUUCAG